Molecule: ribosomal RNA, 241 nt
Filed under: uncultured Bacteroidota bacterium
Lineage: Bacteria; Pseudomonadati; Bacteroidota
Description: uncultured Bacteroidetes bacterium partial 16S ribosomal RNA
Rfam family: Bacterial small subunit ribosomal RNA
Source: RNAcentral
CGCACCGUAAACGAUGAUUACUCGCUGCUAGAGGGCAACUUUUAGUGGCUUAGCGAAAGCGAUAAGUAAUCCACCUGGGGAGUACGCCGGCAACGGUGAAACUCAAAGGAAUUGACGGGGGCCCGCACAAGCGGAGGAGCAUGUGGUUUAAUUCGAUGAUACGCGAGGAACCUUACCAGGGCUUGAAAGUUAAGGAAUGAUAAUGAAAGUUGUCAGUCAGCAAUGACCUAAAACUAGGUGC